GGAAUAUUGGGAAUACUGGGAAUAUUUGGAAUAUUGGGAAUACUGGGAAUAUCAGGAAUGUUGGGAAUACUGGGAAUACUGGGAAUGUUGGGAGGGGUGUGCCCCUGUGGCUGGCAGCCCCCCGGGCCGGGCUGAGCGCUGGCUGCAGCUGUGGGUGCAGAGCUGUGCUGUGCCUGCCGUGUCUCUGCUGCUCUCCCCGCAGCACAGGAGCUGCCUGAGAGUCGUCCCCGGGAUACAAAAGUUGUUUUCCUCCCCCAGCUCCUCCUGCCUCCAUGACCCAGUUACCAGCUCAGCACAUGCGGGAAGCCACGGGAGAGAAAAACACAUUUCUAUUUGAAUGAGAAAAGUUGAUGACUAUUUUAAGCCCCUUAUCACGUAAAAGCAUUUCAAGCUGAAACACCCCUGUCAUCUCUGACUGUGAGGUAACCAUAAAGGCUUCUCCCUCCUCAUCCGCAGCUCCACAGCCCCGCACUUGCAGGCAAUGAAAAUCCCUUUGGGUGUCUGUGCUGUACCCGCUGUGUUCUCUGCUCAGAGCUGAAACACCAGCUUAGCUCGUGUGGAGAACGCUCCGUGGGCUUGUUUUACCCAGUUGGUGCAAGGAGGAACUGCGGCUUUUCCCCUGAGUCCUCGGCGGGCAGGUUACAAAAAUGUGCUGGAGAUGCCAAUCCUUGGCUUCAGAGGGUGGGGACCUGCAUCUCUGGGAUGCUCUGGGAUGCUCAGGUGUGGGGCCCAAGCACUGCCCUGAGGGUGUGGGGGGUCUCUGGGCAUGGGCAGCAGCUCUCAGGCUGCCCUGAGGAGUGCAGGGAAGGAGCUGAGGUGAGGGAUGGGGUCCUUUGGGACACAGGGACUCAACUUUUACAGCUCUUGCUUAGGGAGAGCUCUUAGACCUGCCCCAGUUCCAGCCCUUCCCUGACAGCUGCUCAGAUCAUCGAGGUCAGGCUUCAAUCAAAGGUGAGCACGAGUUUUUUUUCCCCUGGGACUUCAGCACAUGUGUAAGAUGUGAGCAGUGCUUCAGUUCUGGAUUAAAGGAUAUAUAUUUUCUAUUUGAGUACUCCCAAAUAGCAGGGCUUUUACUGAGCUCCACGGGGGCUGUGCCUGUCACAGCAGAGAGGGACAGCAGCACCUGGACCAGGCACACGGCAUUUCUGGCACAGUGUGACUGACAGGGAUGGCCUGGCA
RNAcentral lists this long non-coding RNA (1179 nucleotides) under Parus major (Great Tit). Its description in RNAcentral is "lncRNA (ENSPMJG00000006227.1)". The record is from RNAcentral. Lineage: Eukaryota; Metazoa; Chordata; Aves; Passeriformes; Paridae.